AAAAUAAAUAAAACAUCAAAAGAUUUUCCUUUGCAGUUUUGAUGAGCAUGAUUUCCAAAUGGAUUCAGGGAGGAGGGAAUGAAAAAUCGAUGUCGAUGACACAGAGGUCAGAAACAUUUGGCUGGAGGCGCUAGUAACCAAGUGCAAAAGAAGGUUUCCCAAAGCAUGGCUUAUGGGCUACUCACAUAAGUACCUGAGGAAGCUAAAUGCAAUUCAGUUUCCAGCUCCUUCUCUAAUUUUACUAAGAAUUUGAGAACAGACUCCAGAAGCAAUUUUGUUGACCAAGAGCACCCAACAGAAUUGGCAACGAGAAGAGCGUGGCGCAGUACCCGGGAAGCGUUAAAUGCUAGAAAGCUCCGUAGGUGAUGCUGACAGAUGACACUGUUGCAGAAGCAAGCUGGGAAAGAUUGGAGGGGAAAGCCCAGCAGUUUUGCAUGAGAAGAGCAAGUUUAAGUCUCUAGUGAAAUAGUCGGAAACAUCUCUGCCAACUGUGAACAAGGAAGCACGGAUCACAGGGGAGAAAAAUCCGGGAGCAACCCGGGAAGUGAAGAAUUCCAGAUGCUGGACGCCACCUGGUGGGGACCUGGAGGUUUUUGGAAAAAAAAACAAAAAAAAACAAAAUAAAUGCCUGGAUUUCAGAACUGGG
RNAcentral lists this long non-coding RNA (646 nucleotides) under Canis lupus dingo (dingo). Its description in RNAcentral is "lncRNA (ENSCAFG00020000499.1)". Lineage: Eukaryota; Metazoa; Chordata; Mammalia; Carnivora; Canidae. The record is from RNAcentral.